AUUCUAGUGGCGGACGGGUGAGUAACGCGUGGGUAACCUGCCUUAUACAGGGGGAUAACAGUCAGAAAUGGCUGCUAAUACCGCAUAAGCGCACAGAGCUGCAUGGCUCAGUGUGAAAAACUCCGGUGGUAUAAGAUGGACCCGCGUUGGAUUAGCUAGUUGGUGGGGUAACGGCCCACCAAGGCGACGAUCCAUAGCCGGCCUGAGAGGGUGAACGGCCACAUUGGGACUGAGACACGGCCCAGACUCCUACGGGAGGCAGCAGUGGGGAAUAUUGCACAAUGGGGGAAACCCUGAUGCAGCGACGCCGCGUGAAGGAAGAAGUAUCUCGGUAUGUAAACUUCUAUCAGCAGGGAAGAUAGUGACGGUACCUGACUAAGAAGCCCCGGCUAACUACGUGCCAGCAGCCGCGGUAAUACGUAGGGGGCAAGCGUUAUCCGGAUUUACUGGGUGUAAAGGGAGCGUAGACGGUGUGGCAAGUCUGAUGUGAAAGGCAUGGGCUCAACCUGUGGACUGCACUGGAAACUGUCAUACUUGAGUGCCGGAGGGGUAAGCGGAAUUCCUAGUGUAGCGGUGAAAUGCGUAGAUAUUAGGAGGA
Molecule: ribosomal RNA, 598 nt
Filed under: uncultured Lachnospiraceae bacterium
Lineage: Bacteria; Bacillati; Bacillota; Clostridia; Lachnospirales; Lachnospiraceae
Description: bacterial SSU rRNA
Rfam family: Bacterial small subunit ribosomal RNA
Source: RNAcentral